This 492-nucleotide ribosomal RNA is filed under the name uncultured bacterium. RNAcentral describes it as "partial 16S ribosomal RNA". It matches the Rfam family "Bacterial small subunit ribosomal RNA", at positions 29 to 507 of the family's 1533-position model. The record is from RNAcentral.
AGUGAACGCUGGCGGUAGGCCUAACACAUGCAAGUCGAACGGCAGCACAGUAAGAGCUUGCUCUUACGGGUGGCGAGUGGCGGACGGGUGAGGAAUACAUCGGAAUCUACUUUUUCGUGGGGGAUAACGUAGGGAAACUUACGCUAAUACCGCAUACGACCUACGGGUGAAAGCAGGGGAUCUUCGGACCUUGCGCGAUUGAAUGAGCCGAUGUCGGAUUAGCUAGUUGGCGGGGUAAAGGCCCACCAAGGCGACGAUCCGUAGCUGGUCUGAGAGGAUGAUCAGCCACACUGGAACUGAGAAACGGUACAGACACCUGCGGGAGGCAGCAGUGGGGAAUAUUAGACAAUGGGCGAAAGCCUGAUCCAGCCAUACCGCGUGGGUGAAGAAGGCCUUCGGGUUGGUAAGCCCUUUUGUUGGGAAAGAAAAGCAGCAGGUUAAUACCCCGCUGUUCUGACGGUACCCAAAGAAUAAGCACCGGCUAACUUCGUG